GGACCUCUGCCUAGGAAAACCAGAGACCUUUGUUCAUGUGUUUAUCUGCUGACCUUCUCUCCACUAUUAUCCUAUGACCCUGCCACAUCCCCCUCUCCGAGAAACACCCAAGAAUGAUCAAUAAAUACAAAAAAAAAAAAUUUUUUUUUUUAAAUUCUACUCUGCUGUGGAAUUCCCAAACUAAUAUAGACCUGAAACUAGCUAAUCAAAUCAAUGAUCUCCGAUAAAUUGUAAUGUGGCUAGGAGAUCGAGUAAGUAGUUUAGAAUAUAGAAUACAGUUACAAUGUGACUGGAAUACUUCUGAUUUUUGCAUUACUCCUCAUUUGUAUAAUGAAACAGAGCAUGAGUGGGAAAUAAUUAAGAGACAUUUAAAGGGUCAUACUGGAAAUUUAUCUUUGGAUAUUGCAAAACUGAAGGAACAAGUAUUUCAAGCCUCUCAGGCACAUCUGACGCUAAUGCCAGGAACUGAAGUGUUUGAAGGAGCUGCAGAUGGAUUAGCAGCUAUUAACUGGUUAAAACGGACCAAGACACUCGGAGGCUCUGUGAUUUCAAUGAUGAUUGUGCUUUUAAUUGGUGUUGUCUUUGUGUAGUCUGCAGAUGCGGAUCCUAAAUUCUGCAAGAAGUAGCCCACUGUGAAAAAGCUGCCUUUGCCUUUAUUGCUUUGCAAAAACAGAAAGGCAGACAUGCUGGGAACAAUCCCUAAGCCUGUCACAAACGGGCCUUAAAGAAACUGGCCAGAAACAGGAUUUCUGCAGCAAUGUGACAUGCUCUUGAUGGCUAUCACACACACUGCUAGAAGUUGUUGGUUUACUGGAGCAGGGCAAGGAACACCUGGCCCACCCGGAGUGGAAAACUGCUCAAACCACAAACAACAGCAGGAGUGGCCUGUACUUUAACAAUAUAUUUUUGCUGCAGAUAAUCAGCCAAAGCUUAUUUCUCUUCUCCUCACUAAGAAAGCUUUGUUUCCCGUAAGGAAUGCUUUCAGUUAAUCUAUAAUCUAUAGAAGCAAUGCUUAUCACUGCCUUGCUAUCAAUAAAUAUGUGGGUCAAACUCUGUUCAUGGCUGUCAGCUCUGAAGGCUGUUAGCCCCCUGAUUCUCACUUUGCACUCUAUUUCUGUGUCUUUGUCUUCAAUUCCUCUAGCGCUGCUGGGCUGGGGUCUCCUCGGCUGAGCUGGUCUUGGUAUCUCCUGGUACCUGAUACACAGCCAUUGAAUUGGCAAAUUUGUUUUCUCCAUUCCUGUCCAAAGCCCCACCAGAAGAAAUUUGCCUUCAGUUGGCAAGGCUCACAAUAUACCUUUACUAUUCUACCUAAGGGGUAUGUCAAUUCUACAGCUUUGUGUCAUAAUCUUAUUCAGAGAUACCUUGAUCACUUUUCACUUCCACAAGAUAUCACACUGGUCCAUCACAUUGGUGACAUUAUGCUGAUUGGAGCCAGUGAGCAAGAAGUAGCAAACACACUGGACUUAUUGGUGAGAUAUUUGCAUGCCAGAGGAUGGGAAAUUAAUCUGACUAAAAUUCAGGAACCUUCUACCUCAGUAAAAUUUCUAGGGGUCCAAUGAUGUUGGGACUGUCGAGAUAAUCCUUCCAGGAUGAAGGAUAGGUUGCUGCAUUUGGCCCCUCCUACAAUCAAAAAAGAGGCACCACACCUAGUGGGCCUAUUUGGAUUUUGGAGGCAUCACAUUCCUCAGUUGGGUGUGUUACUCCAGGCCAUUUAUCAAGUGACCCGAAAAGCUGCAAGUUUUGAGUGGGAUCCAGAACAGGAGAAGGUUCUGCAAGAGAUCCAAGCUGCUGUUCAAGCUGUUCUGCCACUUGGGCCAUAUGACCCCACAGAUCCAGUGGUGCUUGAGGUGUCAGUGGCUGAUAGGGAUGCUGUUCGCAGCCUUUGGCAGGCCCCCAUAGGUGAAUCAGAGCAGAGGCCCCUAGGAUUUUGGAACAAGGCCCUGCCAUCUUCUGCAGAUAACUACUCUCCUUUUGAGAGACAGCUCUUGGCCUGCUACUGGGCUUUGGUGGAAAUUGAAUGUUUGACUAUGGGUCAUCAAGUCACCAUGUGACCUGAACUGCCUUUCAUGAACUGGGUGCUUUCUGACCCAUUUAGCCAUAAAUUAGGUCAUGCACAGCAGCAUUCCAUUAUCAAUGGAAGUGGUAUGUAUGUGAUCGGGCUCAAGCAGGUCCUGAAGGCGCAAGUAAGUUACAAGAGGAAGUGGCUCAAAUGCCCAUGGUCUCCACUCCUGCCACCCUGCCUUCUCUUCCCCAGCCUGCACCAAUGGCCUCAUGGGGAGUUAUCUAUGAUCAGUUGACAGAGGAAGAGAAGACUAGGGCCUGAUUCACAGAUGGUUCUUCAUGAUAUGCAGGCAUCACCCGAAAGUGGACAGCUCUAGCACUGCAGACCCUUUCUAGGACAUCUCUGAAGCAUAGACCUGAAGGGAAGUAUUCCCAGUGCACAGAACUUCAAGCAAUGCACCUGGUUGUGCAAUCUGCAUAGAAGGAGGAAUGGCCAGAUGUGCAAUUAUAUACUAAUUCACGGGCUGUAGCCAAUGGUUUGGCUGGAUGGUCUGGGACUUGGGAGAAGCAUGAUUGAAAAGUCGGUGACAAAGAAAUUUGGGAAGAGGUAUGUGGAUGGAACUCACUGAGUGGUCAAAAACUGUGAAGAUAUUUGUAUUCCAUGUGAGUGCACCAACAGGUGACCUCAGCAGAUGAGGAUUUUAAUGAUCAAGUGGAUAAGAUGACUCUUUCUGUGGACACCACCCAGCCUCUUUCCCCAGCCACCCCAUCAUCACCCAAUGGGCCCAUGAACAAAACGGCCAUGGUGGUAGGGACAGAGGUUAUGCAUGGGCUCAGCAACAUGGACUUCCACUCACCAAGGCUGAUUUGGCUAAGGCCACAGCUGGGUGCCCAAUUUGCCAGCAGCAGAGACCAAAACUGAGCCCUCUAUUUGGCACCAUUCUUCAGGGUAAUCAGCUAGCUCCCUGGUGGCAUGUUGAUUAUAUUGGACCUCUUCCAUCAUGGGAAGAGUAGAGGUUUGCCCUCACUGGAAUAGACACUCCGGAUAUGGAUUUGCCUAUCCUGCAUGCAAUGCUUCUGCCAGACUACCAUCUGUGGACUCACAGAAUGCCUUAUCCACCAUCGUGGUAUUCCACACAGCAUUGCCUCAGACCAAGGCACUUACUUUACAACUAAAGAAGUGUAGCAGUGGGCUCAUGCUUCUGGAAUUCACUGGUCUUACCGUGUUCCCCAUCAUCCUGAAGCAGCUGGAUUGAUAGAAUGGUAGAAUGGCCUUUUGAAGUCACAAUUACAAUGCCAACUAGGUGACUAUACUUUUCAUGACUGGGACAAAGUUCUCCACAAGGCUGUAUGUGCUCUGAAUCAGCAUCCGAUAUAUGGUACUGUUUCUCCUGUAGGCAGGAUUCAUGGCUCAAGGAAUCAAGGGGUGGAAGUGACACCACUCACCAUUACCCAUAGUGAUCCACUAGCAAAAUUUUUGCUUCCUGUUUCCAUGACAUUACGUUCUGCUGGCCCAGAGGUCUUCGUUCCAGAGGGAGGAAUGCUGCCACCAGGAUACACAACAACGAUUCCAUUAAACUGGAAAUGAAGAUCGCCACCUGGACACUUUGGGCUCCUCCUACUUUAAGUCAACAGGCUAAGAAGGGAGUUACAGUGUUGGCUGGGGUGAUUUACCCAGACUAUUAAGAGGAAAUCAGUCUAUUACUCCACAAUGGAGGUAAGGAAGAGUAUGCAUGGAAAACAGGAGAUCCAUUAGGGCGUCUCUUAGUAUUACCAUGCUCUGUGAUUAAGGUAAAUGGGAAACUACAACAGCCCAAUCCAGGCAAGACUACAAAUGACCAGACCCCACAGGAAUGAAGGUUUGGGUCACUCCACCAGGGAAAUUAAAAAAAAAUAAAAGGGCCUGCUGAGGUGCUUGCCAAAGGCAAAGGGAAUACAGAAUGGGUAGUAGAAGGUAGUCAUCAAUACCAGCCAUGACCACGUGACCAGCUGCAGAAAUGAGGACUGAAAUUGUCAUGAGUAUUUCCUCUUUCUUUUGUUGAAAACGUUUUUGUGCAUGUAUACACUUGUACUAAGAAAAUAUCUUCAUUUUAUUUCUUUUCUCAUUUAUCAUGUGACAAGAUUUAUUGACUUCAUAUCAGCAUUUAAGUAUUGUUAAUUUUAUGUAAUAGUAUUUGGAUUGGAGAUUGGUGCGUUUCCAGUUGUACAAAGGAUAGUUGUAUUAUUUUAGGCAUAAUUAUGACUGUAUUAUUGUCUUUAUUUGAAGAUUAUGCAUGAUCUCAAGAGAUGUGUAUGGGUUCAAGUUGACAAGGGGUGGACUUGCAAUGGUUAUUACUGUCAAUUUGAUUGGAUUGAAGGAUACAAAGUAUUGAUCCUGGGUGUGUCUGUGUGGGUGUUGCCAAAAGAGAUUAACAUUUGAGUCAGUGGGCUGGGAAAGGCAGACCCACCCUUAAUCUGGGUUGCCACAAUCUAAUCAGCUGCCAGCACAGCUAGAAUAUAUGCAGGCAGAAAAAUGUGAAAAGAGAGACUGGCCUAGCCUCCCAGCCUACAUCUUUCUCCUAUGCUGGAUGCUUCCUGCGUUCAAACAUCAGACUCCAACUCCUUCAGUUUUGGAACUCGGAUGGGCUUUCUUUGCUCCACAACCUGUAGAUGGCCUAUUGCGGAACCUUGUUAUUGUGUUGAGUCCAUGUCUUUGCUGCUGUGGAUAGUGCUGUGCUUCAUGGCAUUUUAUAACCAGAGGAACCCAGAAGUUGAAAGAGAACUGUUAUUAUUAUCCCACCUUAUUUUGAGGAUGAGGUCUGGUUUAGCAGAGAUACGGUUCCUAUAAAGUAGAGUGAAAAAGAAGAAAGGAUUUGGAAGCUGAAAGACAACAAGUUAAAAAUUGGUAUGC
Molecule: long non-coding RNA, 4891 nt
Organism: Homo sapiens (human)
Lineage: Eukaryota; Metazoa; Chordata; Mammalia; Primates; Hominidae
Exons: 3
Source: RefSeq, a predicted model, not a curated record